CGUGUGGUUCAAUACAAUGAUCUUAUAGCAUACUUAAUUACAUAAAAUGUCACUGAGUUCUCUAUAUUCUUGGAAAUUGGGUCGUUCGACUGAAAACAAAGUCAAAAUCAUUGAAACAAAGCAAUGUUAAUGCGCAUGCUUAUGCCACGUAUGCAUAUAACUUACCCUACAAAAAUAGGGUAUAGUUUUGUGCAUUUAGUAGAAAUCGAAUUUAUCCAAAAUGGCGACCGGAGAUUUUGUUGGGAACUUCGAUGACAUUAAAUCAAAAACUUACACGAAAGAGGAACAUGACGAUAGAAGAUGUAAGUACAAAAGAAGAAAACUGACUAAAGAUGGCACCACUAUUUAUAUGUGGUACAGAAUCUGCGUUUGCGAAAAAUAUGCAAACAGAGGUCAGGAAUACGAGAAUAAAACUACUGUAACUAAAGAUGGCGUAGAUGCCCACUACGAGGAGAGCUGCACCUAUGAAACCAAUCCCGUUCACAUAAUGUGCUGGGUAAACUAUUACGAAAUCAAGGUACAAUGUUAUUGUCUCGGAAAACCAAAAUACAGAAGAUAAAGAAAGAUUUGCUGAAUAAGAGUUAAGAAGAUUUGGCAUUCACGUGGUAUCGCAUUUGAUUAAAAAAACUGAUUAUGAAGAACCUUUUAUAAAUAUGAGCAGCGAUGACGAACAUCACCGACUGGGACAGAUCUUUCAUGAAAAAAGUUUUAGUUUUGUUGUGUGUGAUUAUUAACAGUACAAAUGCAUUCAUGUUAGAAAUGUUUCACUAAAGCAUGCAUUAAAGGAAAUAAAAUGAGAAGAACUAGUCUUAUCAUAUAUACUACUUUGCCUGCUAAAGAAAUCAGCAGAUAGUGUUGUUCAUAUCUGACGAGCAAUUAUAUACAAGUAUUUAAGUAAAUUCCGAACUUUUUAAAAUCUAUUAAAUAAAUUAUAAAGGUUUAACAACAAAAUAAAUCGUAUCUAAAGCUUAAAGCAAUAUGAGCUGUAUUUUUUAGAAUUUUAUUUUGCUGCAAAAACAUGCUAGAAUGAUAAGUCUGCAUAUAACUUAAACUUUUAUGAUAAAUAAGAUUUGAAAAAAUCAUUAAUUUUUGUCAAAGGAAAUAUUUCUCUUCUAAGAAGUAAAUAGCAAAUCAAUUUUGGUACAGGACGACAAUAAUUCAAUUUUGCUCCAAAUAUGGCUUCUUUACGGCUUUUUCUAGAAAAAUAUGGCUUACAGAAAUUUAAAAACAAUGAUAUUUUUGUCAUUUUAGUAAAAAAGAACAUUUUAGUAAAAAAAAAAAUUCAACAUGAAAAAUGCAGCUCAUAUUGCUUUAAAUAAUUAAGGUUUUACUAACAAAAAUACGUCGUAUCCAGUUAUACUAAGUUUCAGUUCCGGUACACUAAAAAUAUGUAUGGGAAAGAAAUAACUGGAAUUCCAUCAGUUAUUAAAGGGGUUUUCCGUCCUUCCGUCCUGCACACUAAGGAACUAAUAGACGAUGUCUCUGCGGAACAUAUAACAACAGGUUUGCUCCAAACGAAGGGUCUGAAUUGCCCGCCGGUCACAUUCAAAUGGAAGGAAUUGACAUACACGGGGACGAAAAUUGUCGUUACGAGUACUCAACAGUAAGGGGAUGGCAAAAGAAAUUUGUGCUUCAUUGCCACUGUAGAAAAAUUUAAGUGAAAAUGAAAAACAUAUCGUACAUUUAGUUGACUUAUUGACAUUCAUACUCUAAAAGAUCAACAGAGAAUAACUGUGUUACUUUGGAAACAAGAAAAACACCGGUUUUGAAAGAAGAAAAAAAAAACCAAUGUUGUGACGUUUUAUAAAAGCCCAUGUGUAAAUGAUCCUGGACCCACAAGUGUUUUUUUUUAUCAUUGUCAGAUCUAUAUAUAGUAGACAGGGCGCUCUCUGUCUCUGAUAAAGCAUUAAAGUGUCCGUGAAGUCAAAGUCAAAGUUUCUUUUAAAUUGUAGAGAAAUACAUAAAAUUCAAUAUCAUAAAAAAUGUACUGUUGUGUUUUUGUUGAUAUGACGUAAAGCGUAUUUAAGAACUGUUACAGCCACAAAAUGGACUGAAAGCGAUUUUAGAUUUACAAAUAAGACAGGGAAUUCUGUGAGCAUAAUUUUGUUCGAGUUUAGACCAAUGAAAGCACAGAAGAUCACUCGAGACUGGCGACAGAGGGCAUUGCAAAAUGCAUCCAUUAUUAAGCCAUGGAAUUUUUGAGUGUUUUUUUUUUUUUUUAAAUUGCCUUGUGUAUUCUAAGCCAGUGAAAACGAAGAUGAUCAUUGGUUACUGACUUCGCAAGACAUAAUAAUAAUGUCAUAAAUUACAUUCGAUAAUAUUACGCAAAUUAAAACAAAAUAUAGGGGGUGGCGCUUAUAUGGAAGUCUUUUACAAUCUCAGAAAAAGUCACAAAAUUUCUAAGAAAAAAAAAAUAAGCAUGCAUAAUGAUAUACAUGUAAGUGGAAUUUUUGAGAGAUCUUUUAUAAUCCUUCAGCAAGCGCAUGAAUGAAGAAGUCCACGAAAGCAAUUUAUGUGAAACAGUGAUAGAUAGGGACAACUGAAAGAACAAGGGGAAUAGUAAUCGUGUUUAUUAGAAUAUCUCGAGAUCAAUCGCGUCAAUUACAAAAACAAAAGUUAUGACGAUUGAUUCUACCCCUCGACGGAGUAGAUGUACACACAAUAGACCAUGUGAAUACCCGGUAUGUCUCGGUGAGACACCUUAUUCCUUGCUCCGCAAACAUUUAUAUCGAUUUAUACUGACAUGCCAAUGUGCCUCUGAAAACGGUAGGUUUUGAAACCCUUUUUGAUUUAAUAUGUUUGAAGCAUUUACCUGAUGUUCUCACUACAUGUCGGAAAGACCACUAAUUAGCACACAGUUCUUAAAAUUAAUUUUGAGUCUACAAAGUUACAGUACUUAGCUACUAUAUUUGUUUAAAAUGAGUAAGAACACCAAGAAGGAAGACUAAUUCAAGACUGAACAAAGAAAACUGACACGUAUACUUAAACGCAUCGCGCAUGCGCAACUAAAAAAUAGAAGAAUUUAUAAGAAAUUCUACCUGCAACAGCUAACAGUUUGGUGUAUAAAACGAAGGAUGCGAGAUUUCAACAUAAUUCCAGAAGAUAUUGUUCGCUCCUCAGCAGUUUUGGAUAACGAAGUCCACUCUAGAGGCUGCAGGUGCAAACGUCGUCGUUUGUACCAUGUUUCGGAAUUUGUUUACGUUUACUACAGAAAAUGUGUUUGCGGGAAAUAUCGCAACAGGCUUGCCGCAUUUGAACAUACAGCCGAGAAUCGCCGAUUGCCCACUGGUCACAUCAAUAUUGAUGGAGUUGAUAUUCACGCAGACGCACAGUGUCAUUAUGAAUAUCCGGAAUCUCAACCUUCGGGAAAAAUAAUUUUUCGACUGAUUUGUUACUGCGACAAGUAAAGUCAAAGAAAUAUAAGACAUUGAUUGCAUUCGAAAAAAGAAAAUAAUCGGAGCCAACUUUUAAUCAUUGAAUCCAACACCAUCAUAUACACUUUCUUUAUAUAACUUUAUAUAUUUUUGUGACUUGAAAUACUUUUCACUUCUAUCUAUCAUUGUAUUAUCCGUCAAUAUCAUUUUUCGUCAUCUGCAACGUUUUUUAUGUAUCUUACUAUGUUUGAACCGAAAAAAUCAUUGAUAAACUGAAAUAAAUUCGUUCACAACUUUACUUCGUUAAAAAUAAUUUUUAUUUACUACAAGAGAGUGUAUUUCAUUUUCUUGUAUAGCCUCAUGCUUACAACCACAUUUGUUUGGUAAUAUUUCAGUCUUUGGCAUAAAAUAUUCAUCUUUAUUAGAAAUUGUUUCCUGGAUCUAAUUACUAUGAUAUACCUGUACGUUAUUUUAGUAUUGAUUGAUGAUAGCAAACCACAAUGUAAGACUUUAUCAAAAAAUCCUAAACUUUCAAAGCAAUGCUUUAUAAACAAAAAUAAUAAGCAUUUAUGAGGGAUCAAGAUGGAAUUUUAAUAAAAUAGACAAUUUGCAAUUGGUCGAUGUACAAGUAUGCUGCUACGUCAAAACAACGGGAGGAACAAAAAACCGCUGCUAAAAACUAUGUCAUUCAUUUUAUAUCCACAUUAAAAUUCAUAGUUUUAUUUCUUAUUCAUAGUUUAAGUCACAUGGUUAAAGAGUGUUGCGCUUCAAUGUUAGAGUAAGAUAUUCUAUUAAGCCCAUUUAAUGAUAGGCAAUGAUUUAAAAAUCUUUUAGACGCAAAGUUAAAGAACCGACCUUCAAAAAGAAUUAUUUGUAGUUUAAAAAUAAACGUUGGACAUGCAUUGACAAAAAUCUACCGUACAUGAAAAUUUACCUAUCAGUUAUUUGAAGAAAUAAAUUUUAAAACCGUCAACCAGGAGUUUAUGGGCAGAGUAUUUUUUUUUUAAUUUUUUACCAAACAUGUUAUACAAUUUCUUUAAACGAAUUUUAGAAUCACUUGUUUAUUUACCACAAAUGACAAUAGAAAGCUAGUAAAGCAAUAUAGCAUAAUAUAGUAUCAAGCAAUACUAAAAAAAACUGCGAGUGUGCAAAUAUGUGUAAUCUAUAUUUAGCAGAUAAAAAUAACCGCUACAAAAUUCCCAUGAGCCAAAAUCAUGAAAAUCGUUACACUAACGCAUUACGUAAUGUUAGCUAACUAGACUAUAAAAGGAAAUAAAACGCUACCUGUAUCACAUGCCAGGAAUAACCACACCUGAGACUUCAUAAGCAAAUAACAAGGUUUCUUUUUUUUUUUAAUCAAAAUGACCUCACAAGAUAUCACAGUCACUGACUUAGAACAAAUAAGCGAAGGUGUUGAAGGAGAAGAACACGAAGGCACUGAAUGUGCCCCAGUUAUGAAAACCUGCAAAUAUUCCAGAGGGAGCUUUGUUAAGGGAGAUGUUGUUGUCUUUUUUCGAUACUGUCGAUGUGGAAAAUAUAAUAAACAAACAUGUGACAACAAUCUGGCGCAACUGAACAACGGCGGGAUAAAUGUACCCACCGAUGGAUUAGAUAUUCAUCGAGACAGCCGUUGUUAUUACGCAGACCCCAAACCCAUUCGUUCUAAAGGAAAGACGGUCUACGUUUAUUCCCUUCACUGUGUGUGUAAACAUGCUUCAAGGACAUCCUUGUAUUUGCGUUAGCAAAAGAAUCUAACGAUUGGAACCAUAGCAAAAGUUUCCGAGCAGCAACAGACGCAAAGCAAAAAGCAAUUCAGGCGACAACAGCGCCAAAUAAAUGACGCAAACUAUUUAUGAAAAUUGUUGACUUUCUUUUCAAUGAUUUAUCGUGUAAUUAUCAGAUUUAUAUCGUUAUGAAUUGUGCCUUUUUGUGGACGAAAUAAAAUCACUUUUGAACCAUAUCUGAUUUUUAUAUGAUUACUUUAUUUGGAUCUUACCAGUUUCAUGUUUUAUAGGGUUGUAAAAAAGGUUAUUAUGGGGGCAAAAUAUGUGGUAUGUGUGUGAAAACGUAUAUUGGUAGCAAAGUUUCCACUCCUUCAAGCUAAGGGUUUGAACAACACAUCCUUCUUGUGUUAAGUCCAAAUUAACAAUUAAUCAUAAUUAAAUAAAACCUGCUACCCUUUAAAAUCAUGGUGUUAGACGAAAGAUUAUUUUGCUCCAAGAUGAAUUUAGAGAAAUGGUCUGAAAGGAUUAUAAAAAUAAUAAUCUUUCGCCCGAUUAAUGUAUAAUAUGUAAAUUAUUCAGUACUUAUUUUCUAAACAUUUAAAUUUUAAAAUUAAUUUCACAAAAGCAGUUAAAUCAGAUAACAGUAUAAUUUGAUUUAGACCAGUUCACGAUUCCAAACACCUGCAGUUACAAGGCUCCACUUUUCACAAUAACAUAUUUUCAAAGACAACAUUUUUUCACAGUAAACGUGCCAAUACAAGCCGUGUGAAUAAUCAUGUCCUAAAGUCCAUUUAAAAUACAUUUACCAAAAACAAACUGAUAAAUUUACGGUUUUAUGUUCAAAAUCUUUAAAAAAAAAAAUUAAAGCUUCAAAGACUUUCCUUAAAGAAAUAAACUAUUCUUUUUUGAGUAUAUCCAAAAAUGUUUCGCAACGUUACCUAAAAUCUUUCAUUUAAGAUAUACCGACAUGUUUUGGAAGACUGACGCCAAAUUCUGCACAUCUCAAAAUUAAGAUCUAAGCAAACUGAUUUUUUUCUGUACAAUAAACGUCGACAAUAUAAUUAAUUCCGUAUAGAAGCAUUCGAAAAUUGUACCCGAUCCAUUAUGACUUAAUAUUUGAGAACCUAUCGCUUAACCAAUUCAACCACUACAAACUGAACGACAUAAUUAAGUAGAUGUUUGAAAAGGAUCCACAUGAGAACUAGGCACUACAUAUGUAUAAAACAAAUAUUUUCAGGAAAAUCUCAAACUAUCCAGUAGCUAACAGAUUAAAUUAGACCAGGGUUUUUUAAAGUCUAUUUUAGACGCCUGUGUUGCUAUAAAUACUAUAGGGAAUUUGUGAGUAUAUUUUUGUUCAUAAGCAUGCGUUUUCUUAGCCAAUGAAUGCACAGAAGAACAAUCGAGACAUUCUUGGUUAAUGACUGCGCAAGACAGAAAUAUGUCAUAAGUAGGAAAAAUCGUUAUUUUUAUAAAUAAAACUACUAUAAAAGGCCAUGCUAAGAGUAUUUCUGACAGGUGUUUUGAGCAUAAUCCUAGAAAAGGUUCAGACUCUUAAUAAACUCAACAUGAAUAACGACAUAAGUGGUAUCCCUGAAGAGGCCUUCUAUAGCUCAAUCAGCAACCGCAUGGACGGAGAAGUCCAUGAGAGCGACGACUGUGAGGUCGUUGCGAGAUAUGGAGAGCUCAACGAACACGGCAGAAUAGUAGUCGUGCUCAUUAGAAUAUGCCAUUGUGGCAAACAUGAAAGCAAAGAGAAAGUUUUUGAGGCUAAGCAACGAUUGAAUGUCCCCCAGGACGGAUUGGAUGUACACGGAAAUGAGGAAUGGGAAUAUAUCUCGAUAAAAUAUUUUGAUCCAAAGCUUGGCCAACAUCUCUAUCGAUUUAAACUGACACACCGCUGUAACUCUAAAAAGGGCAUGAAGAGAGUUUUAGAUUACAACUAGAUAAAGCCUGAAGAGCCAUCACAUGACAGCGAACAAUUAAAUUACACAAAAUGGCUGCCCAACCGAGGAUGACAGAUCGACCAGGAACUGAACAUUAAAAUGCAGGUUAAACAACGUACAAUGUUAGGCAAGAUAAACACUAGUACCAAAAGGAAGAAUGAAACGUGAACAAACGAAAAGUGUUGUGUACUUGAAAUGAAAGCAUGUGUACAUAAUGUGUGAACAAUUAUUUAUUUAAAAAAAAAUAUUUAUUUCAAACAAUUAAAUAAAAACAAAUGAAGAUUUGUCAAUGUUUUUUAAUGUUUUAAAGGUUGUAUUAGUGCUCUAUAGUGUUAAGAUUUUCCGUUUCAUCCAGAGUGUAUUAUGUUGACAUAUGACUUUGUUUAGUAAUCAUAUUCAUAAACUGUAAAUUUACACAUUUUAAUAUAUGUAUAUAUGCAAGCUAAUAGAGCAAAUUUUAUCAUUUUGCUAAUACCAACUGGAAUACCGUAUGACAUGAAAUGUGAUUAUCUAAAAUAAAAAUGACAGAAAGUA
Long non-coding RNA from Magallana angulata, 7575 nucleotides. RefSeq lists it as uncharacterized. The transcript is spliced from 6 exons. NCBI's taxonomy places the organism in Eukaryota, Metazoa, Mollusca, Bivalvia, Ostreida, Ostreidae. The record is from RefSeq and is a predicted model, not a curated record.